Molecule: unclassified non-coding RNA, 362 nt
Filed under: Hevea brasiliensis (rubber tree)
Lineage: Eukaryota; Viridiplantae; Streptophyta; Magnoliopsida; Malpighiales; Euphorbiaceae
Source: RNAcentral
UGAACUUAAGGAGAAAACAAAUUAUUACAUUACCCAGCAGCUCAUCCAGAGAUAUGACCCUGACCCUGCUGCAAAGGCAGCCGCUGCCACUGUAUUGGCUUCCAAGUUGGGAGCAGAUUCAGGCUUAAAGGUUCAUUUGGGUGACGAAUCCAACCCUAAUGUUCCAUCAGGGAAGAGCAAUGAUGUUGAAUUUGUGCAAGCUGGUAGUGGGCUUCGGAACAGAAAACAAGGUCACUCCCGUUCCAGCAGUGCAGGUAGUGCUUCAUUACAUCAUCCUGAUGAAGAUGCACGUCGUCCUACAGUAUCCGGAAGUCCUCAUGCUUCUGAGCAUAAGCAGUUGGUUGUCGAUCAUUACAAUCCUC